RNAcentral lists this long non-coding RNA (2492 nucleotides) under Homo sapiens (human). RNAcentral's name for it is "non-protein coding lnc-SOWAHD-1:1". The record is from RNAcentral. Lineage: Eukaryota; Metazoa; Chordata; Mammalia; Primates; Hominidae.
AUACUCUGCUCAGCGGCCGAGCUCUGCAGUUCUCCUCCCGGCCCCCGUUACCCCCCUUCCUUUCCACCGAGAUCCCAAGGUGCUUAGAUGGGUGCGCCUUGGCCGCUGGAGUCUCGAUGCCCCACUGUCGUGUCUCCCUCCCUCCAUGGCCCGGGAGCGCAGCUGCGGCCGAGGUACCGGGGAGGCCUGCGGCACCUGCCGCUCCACAGUAGAGCUUAGAAAGGGGGCCCGUGGGGGGAGCCGCACUGCAGCCCGGCAACUGAGCUGAGCUGUGGCAUGUGGGGUCCGAGGCUAGAGGUCUUGAGACGCUGCUUCUGCCCUGGGGUUUCCAAGCCUUGGGUGCUGUGGGCUGUAAUUUCGUGGAGCCAAGCUCACCACCUUUGGGUACCUAGUACAGACGGAACCCACGCCUCCUCUCUCCGACCCAGCCCUAGACGCUCAGCAAGACCACCCACCCCUUCUAGUACCAGAGGAAGGGCUGGAGAUGAAGGUUCUCAGCUCUAUGGAGCGAAAUGGAGGGGCGGGUGACGGGGAGCGGCCUCCAGUCACUCUGUCCCGCCCCCUGAUUUCUCCUUGACCCUCAUUCAGCCCGGGACAAGGCGGCCAAUAGGGCGCAGAGGAGAGAACUUCCGAAGGCAGGGGUGCGCCCGCCCGCCCUCCUUAUCCCCGUGGCCCACCUCCGCGGGUCCUCUCUCGUGGGCACCUCUCCACUUCUCCGGCCUUGGCGCCCUCCCCUCUCUCUUGGGACUGGCCUCUUGCUAGCUCCCUGUCACUGGAGCACGCUGGCAGAUUUGGCAUGCCCGAGGCCCCAGCGGGAGGGACAGUACAUUCCACUCCUCAAAAGGGCAGGUUCCCUGGUGUGGGAGAGAGACCUGGGCCCGCCAGAGGGACCCCAGAUGGGGGAGGGGAUGACAAGGCUAUGGAGGAAACCCGGGCCCAAGAGGGGGCCCCAAUGGAGCAUGGAAGAUGACCCCGUAAAGGCCCAAGGCUGGAGCAGCUGAGGAGGAGGCAGGAGAGAGGGAAAAAGAAAAGAAGGAACCAGGGAGAGAGAGGAAGAAGGGACUCGAUCCAGAGGCCCUGGUCUCGGAGAAGUCAGGGAAGACAAGAAAAUGGAGUAGCCAAAGAAGAGCAUGCCUGGCACUUGGUUCCACCUGCUGGAUGGAGCUUCUCACACUCUCUCGGGAAGCCCUUUAUGUAUGUACCCUGUGCGCCUGGAGAACAAGGACUCAGCAAACGCAUCCCAGGGCCGAGUGCAGGGCCUCGCAGUCAGGAGGCACUCUAUUAAGCUGAGGGCAGAGAACUUGGAUGCGUGCGAGGGGGGCGGGGAGAAGAAAGAAGAGACACAGUGAGGGAAUAGCAGUAAGGACAGUCAUGAAGAGCCAAGUAUUCAGGGAGCGCCACUGUGCGCCUUCAUUGUGCUGGAGACCCAGGAGCGGCCUAAAGAGAAGAGCCUGGCAAAAUCAGGGAUCAGCGCAGAGGAGCUCCGCGAGACAGAAGGCGCAGGCCAUAGGGCGGAUGGCGGUGGCAAGGAAGAGGGGCAGCUGGAGUCUUUCAGACUCUCUGGAGCUUUGGGGCAGGGCCUGAGCCCUGGACUGGGUUGGCAGUGACACGGGGGACCAGUGCUAUAUCUGAGGAACCACGGUGAGGCUUGGGCCCCAACCGCAUGGGGGCGGGGAGUCAGAGGUGACUGGCGGCUUCCAGGCUGGGUGUCUGGGACAGGGCUCUUCCCUGGCAAAGGCUAGGGCGUGGUGGACUGAAAGGCCCCGAGGUCACUAGCCCCGAUCUGGACUUGGGGUUUGGGUGGUGGUGGGACAAAAGGGGAGAAUUUGGAAGCCAGAGCAGAAAGCUGCUGCCGGAACGGGAGGGGACUGGAGGGCUGCGGGUCUCCCGGGAGAAUCCCCCACGCACUGCCCCGCCCGCCUUAGCACUCCUCGCGGACUGAAGCUCCGUACUUACCGGCCCAGCGCUGGGGGCACCUGAGCACGGAAUCCUUGGUGUCUCAUCCAUAUGCCCCAUUCGGCCCUCCUGUCCCUAGAGACUACCAGAACCUCACUGCGUCCUCCUCCUCCAAAACGCUGAACCUCGAAGACCUGAACUAAGUGCUUAAUUCAAGUCUCCUGGGACCCUUUGGUUCCUCCAAUACCUGCCCACCUGCGGCUACAAGUCCCUCCUGGGGCCUGGGCCUCCAGCCUCCUUCGGUGGGGUGUGGGUCAGUGUGUGUGUUGGUCUUGAUGUGUGAGUAGAUGUGUCGGUGUGUUCGUGUGUAUUGUCAGUGUGUGCUAGCUGUGUGUCUGUAUAUCUGUGUGUCAAUGUGUGUGUUGGCAUGUGUUGGUGUGUCAGUGUAUUUCAAUGCAUGGUGAGUGUAUGUGUGUCAAUAUGGAGAGAGGUGUUAGCUCACUAGCUUUACAUACCUUAUCUCACUCAGUGCAGUGGGCCGACGACUGAGACGUGUGAAUCAGAACAUUCAUUUCAAUAAAGAGGUUUGGAAACUC